GUGGGACCUGGGGACGGAACUCAAAUUGUCAGGACUCCUAAGGAAAAUACGCACCUCAUUCAAAGUGGCUUCCAGGGCCAGCCAUGACUCACAUGUUGAAAAGUGUUCAGUGUUCAGAAUUACGCCUAGCUUCAGAGAGUACUGCCUGAGGAAAAGACAGAAUCUCAAUGGGAGGCGCGUGCGUGUAGUGGAUAGCCAACCCAGCAUUGGCCUGGAAGUUCCAACCCCCA
Long non-coding RNA from Onychomys torridus (southern grasshopper mouse), 230 nucleotides. RefSeq lists it as uncharacterized. The transcript has 3 exons. NCBI's taxonomy places the organism in Eukaryota, Metazoa, Chordata, Mammalia, Rodentia, Cricetidae. The record is from RefSeq and is a predicted model, not a curated record.